RNAcentral lists this ribosomal RNA (890 nucleotides) under uncultured bacterium. Its description in RNAcentral is "bacterial SSU rRNA". It matches the Rfam family "Bacterial small subunit ribosomal RNA", at positions 8 to 916 of the family's 1533-position model. The record is from RNAcentral.
AGAGUUUGAUCAUGGCUCAGGACGAACGCUGGCGGCGUGCAUAACACAUGCAAGUCGAACGGAACUAUUAGCAAUAAUAGUUUAGUGGCGGACGGGUGAGUAACGCGUGGGCAACCUGCCCCGGACUGGGGAAUAACGCAGAGAAAUCUGCGCUAAUACCGCAUAACACCAUAAUACCGCAUGGUAAGAUGGUCAAAGGAGAAAUCCGGUUUGGGAUGGGCCCGCGUCCGAUUAGCUAGUUGGUGAGAUAACAGCCCACCAAGGCAACGAUCGGUAGCCGGACUGAGAGGUUGGCCGGCCACAUUGGGACUGAGACACGGCCCAGACUCCUACGGGAGGCAGCAGUGGGGAGUAUUGCGCAAUGGAGGGAACUCUGACGCAGCGACGCCGCGUGAAGGAUGAAGGCCUUCUGGUUGUAAACUUCUGUCUUCAGGGACGAGAAAGGACGGUACCUGAGGAGGAAGCCACGGCUAACUACGUGCCAGCAGCCGCGGUAAUACGUAGGUGGCGAGCGUUGUCCGGAAUUACUGGGUGUAAAGGGCGCGUAGGCGGGGAUGCAAGUUAGAUGUGAAAUACCGGGGCUCAACUCCGGGGCUGCAUCUAAAACUGUGUUUCUUGAGUGCUGGAGAGGGAAGCGGAAUUCCUAGUGUAGCGGUGAAAUGCGUAGAUAUUAGGAGGAACACCAGUGGCGAAGGCGGCUUCCUGGACAGCAACUGACGCUGAUGCGCGAAAGCACGGGUAGCAAACAGGAUUAGAUACCCUGGUAGUCCGUGCCGUAAACUAUGGAUACUAGGUGUAGGGGAUUUUAUAUCUUCUGUGCCGCAGUUAACACAAUAAGUAUCCCACCUGGGGAGUACGGCCGCAAGGUUGAAACUCAAAUGAAUUGACGG